UACGUAGGGCGCGAGCGUUGUCCGGAUUUAUUGGGCGUAAAGAGCUCGUAGGCGGCUUGUCGCGUCGACUGUGAAAACCCGUGGCUCAACCAUGUGGUCUGCAGUCGAUACGGGCAGGCUAGAAUUCGGUAGGGGAGACUGGAAUUCCUGGUGUAGCGGUGAAAUGCGCAGAUAUCAGGAGGAACACCGGUGGCGAAGGCGGCAUCCUGGACCGGUAUUGACGCUGAGGCGCGAAAGCCAGGGGAGCAAACGGG
RNAcentral lists this ribosomal RNA (254 nucleotides) under uncultured bacterium. RNAcentral's name for it is "partial 16S ribosomal RNA". It matches the Rfam family "Bacterial small subunit ribosomal RNA", at positions 524 to 776 of the family's 1533-position model. The record is from RNAcentral.